UUGAACGCUGGCGGCAGGCCUAACACAUGCAAGUCGAGCGGUAGCACAGAGAGCUUGCUCUCGGGUGACGAGCGGCGGACGGGUGAGUAAUGUCUGGGAAACUGCCUGAUGGAGGGGGAUAACUACUGGAAACGGUAGCUAAUACCGCAUAAUGUCGCAAGACCAAAGUGGGGGACCUUCGGGCCUCAUGCCAUCAGAUGUGCCCAGAUGGGAUUAGCUAGUAGGUGGGGUAACGGCUCACCUAGGCGACGAUCCCUAGCUGGUCUGAGAGGAUGACCAGCCACACUGGAACUGAGACACGGUCCAGACUCCUACGGGAGGCAGCAGUGGGGAAUAUUGCACAAUGGGCGCAAGCCUGAUGCAGCCAUGCCGCGUGUGUGAAGAAGGCCUUCGGGUUGUAAAGCACUUUCAGCGGGGAGGAAGGCGGUGAGGUUAAUAACCUUGGCGAUUGACGUUACCCGCAGAAGAAGCACCGGCUAACUCCGUGCCAGCAGCCGCGGUAAUACGGAGGGUGCAAGCGUUAAUCGGAAUUACUGGGCGUAAAGCGCACGCAGGCGGUCUGUCAAGUCGGAUGUGAAAUCCCCGGGCUCAACCUGGGAACUGCAUUCGAAACUGGCAGGCUAGAGUCUUGUAGAGGGGGGUAGAAUUCCAGGUGUAGCGGUGAAAUGCGUAGAGAUCUGGAGGAAUACCGGUGGCGAAGGCGGCCCCCUGGACAAAGACUGACGCUCAGGUGCGAAAGCGUGGGGAGCAAACAGGAUUAGAUACCCUGGUAGUCCACGCCGUAAACGAUGUCGAUUUGGAGGUUGUGCCCUUGAGGCGUGGCUUCCGGAGCUAACGCGUUAAAUCGACCGCCUGGGGAGUACGGCCG
Molecule: ribosomal RNA, 868 nt
Filed under: Klebsiella pneumoniae
Lineage: Bacteria; Pseudomonadati; Pseudomonadota; Gammaproteobacteria; Enterobacterales; Enterobacteriaceae
Description: bacterial SSU rRNA
Rfam family: Bacterial small subunit ribosomal RNA
Source: RNAcentral